UGUGGUGCUUUAUUUAUCAAGAAGCAUGAAUCACAUAGCAUGUAAAGUGUUGGAUAUAAAAACCAGAAGACAGACAUGACUCUCUCACAGUUACCAGCUGUGGACAAAUGCUGACAUGUGGGGAGAUGACCCUUCCCUUCUGCUCCCCUUUGUGGCCAUGGCUGCUGGAAAUGUCCAGGGAGCUGCAGCUUCCUAGAAGCCUUCAGCUCCCGAGUCCUGACACCACGGGACAUGAAGAGGACUCUUAGCAAGCAUAUCAGAAUCACUCAUCUGCAGGGGCGAAUCUCUGCCCUGGCCCUUUGCCCACUACAGCCCUGCACUCCCCGGGGUGGCCAGGGAAAACUCUGCUGUACACCAUGGCACAUUGGGCAGACAUGGUGGAUGUUUCCUCUCGUAGAGGGAGGAAAGGAGGCCAUCAGAGUGAGGCAGGAGGAAAAGCAAGUAAGAUCAGUGAUGGGCAAGAGGCUUGCUAGCGUGGACAGGAAGAGGGUGGCUUCAUAGCUUCUCUUCUAUAAGAGGAGCCUGCUAGAUAUGACACCAAGGGACUCUCCACGGGUCUCCAGUGUGUUUAUCCUGCUCAUCUCUGUGUGCCAUGAGUUCCCCUCCUGGACACCUCCUCCAGGGAGCCCUGGUCCUGGCAGCUGGGGUGGGCAGUGUAGGAAGGCCUUUCUGUGGUUACUAGGUACUGACGGCUUGGUCUGCCACAGGACCUCCUUGGUAAAUCAUGUCAACACAAGAAACAGAUGUUAAUUGUCACCUGCAGAACCUGACCCAGCAAAUGACAAACACACACUUGUCUAGCAGAAGCAGAGACUGGACAGCUGGCCAGACCCUAUUACAGCUCAGGGAUGCACCCUGAGCCCAUGCAGGGCUGCCUGGCCCAAGGUUUGAAUGCAUCUGUGUUGAAAACUGGUCUCUCCACUCUGCCCUCUGGUACCUAAGGCAAAUAGGGAAAGAAGGGGGUGUCCACUCUGUCUUUCCAGGGCCAACAGCUGGGGUGCUGGCUUGAGGUCUCCUCCGGCUCCACUGAGUCAGGGACCCACCCUGCUGCUCUACAGUAAGACGCAGCUGCACUGGCUACCAGGCUGGGUUGCUGCCUCCUGGCCAGUGGGCUCAACUUACAGGUCUUGGCCUGCUAGAGGGAGCAGGGGCAGCAGUAGGAAGUCACUUCCCCAGGACACAGCUGCCCUUAGGUGACCUGGAAUCAUCACAAUAUGGGACAGGUGGCUUGGAGAGGCCUGGGGUGCUCAUUACUUCUCAGCAUAUUGUAAAUGGACCCCUUUUGUUCUCUGGGCAAUGAUUAAGGCCACCCUGUUGAAAUGAACUGUGUACAAGAACACAUCACUAAGUAAAACCCAAGGCUUUAGAGAGGAUGAAAAAGAAAUUCUUCAUCAAGUUCUUCUCCCUCUGCUAAAAUCUGAAAUCUGCUGAAUCUAAUUUGUACAGUCAAGGGGAGUGAGCCUCAGCCUCCAAGGUAGCCGCCACUCAGGCAGGAGGCAGGACAGGGUGGGGUCAUGAAGGGCUGGUAGCUUUGCAAAUUGCAAACUGCAGGGUCCCUUGGAACUGCCUCUCCUUGGAAGCCUGCAGUGGCAACCACACUGCCCUCCAAGGAUGAUGAGCCUGCCAGACAGUCAGCCUUCACCGACAGGGAUAUGCCUGCCUGGCAACCACUGCAGGCCAUGUCUACCCUUGGAAGUGCACGCCCUCCUGACACCUAGAAGGCAGUCACUCCAGGGAACAGCAGAAGCUUUAUAAGAUCAGAGAAUUUUUGGAAUUAAUUGUACCCUCACAAGGAUUUCAAAUAAUUUGGAAAUAAAAAUUUUGGUCUACAUCCCAUGAACAUGAAUACAUUUAUAAAACAGCCCAUUGUUGAUCUGAGGUCAUUGAUUUAAAAUAUAAUUUGGUGAAUUAUAGGGAGGAAGUGAGGGAGGGAUAAGGACAGAAUUAGCCUGAAUCAUAUUUGGAUUGGUUUUAUACAAACACAGUAUUUGUGGUUGUAUCUCAACACUAUCCAGCAAAUAUGAAGAUGCUUGAAGGGAAAGAGCAGAAUUUUAAAUUCACUUUAGAAUUAAACAUCAAUAAGACUCUUACCACCUCUUCUGACCAAAUUCAGGAAUGAAAAAGGGGUAACUAAAAAAGGUCCCUGGAAACCGGCUUCCCUUCCACACUCCUCAGCCGGUGCCGGUGGCCAUCUGCUAUCUCAGCCACACUUGAUGACACCCUGUUCUUGUCUUGCACAUAUGUCUGAGGCAGGACCAUCUGAUUCUGACUGGGGCUAACAGAAAUCAGGCAGAGCUUGAUUAAGAAUGGAGCAGAGGCAGAGCCCCUCCAAAGCAGUGGGCCAGGGUGAGCAGCCCUUGGCCCUCGCUACGCACCGUGAGCAAAGCCUUGGAGG
Molecule: non-coding RNA, 2395 nt
Organism: Urocitellus parryii (Arctic ground squirrel)
Lineage: Eukaryota; Metazoa; Chordata; Mammalia; Rodentia; Sciuridae
Source: RefSeq, a predicted model, not a curated record